Molecule: ribosomal RNA, 2889 nt
Filed under: Klebsiella pneumoniae
Lineage: Bacteria; Pseudomonadati; Pseudomonadota; Gammaproteobacteria; Enterobacterales; Enterobacteriaceae
Description: bacterial LSU rRNA
Rfam family: Bacterial large subunit ribosomal RNA
Source: RNAcentral
UUAAGCGACUAAGCGUACACGGUGGAUGCCCUGGCAGUCAGAGGCGAUGAAGGACGUGCUAAUCUGCGAAAAGCGUCGGUAAGGUGAUAUGAACCGUUAUAACCGGCGAUGUCCGAAUGGGGAAACCCAGUGCAAUUCGUUGCACUAUCGUUAACUGAAUACAUAGGUUAACGAGGCGAACCGGGGGAACUGAAACAUCUAAGUACCCCGAGGAAAAGAAAUCAACCGAGAUUCCCCCAGUAGCGGCGAGCGAACGGGGAGCAGCCCAGAGUCUGAAUCAGCUUGUGUGUUAGUGGAACGGUCUGGAAAGUCCGACGGUACAGGGUGAUAGUCCCGUACACCAAAAUGCACAGGCUGUGAACUCGAAGAGUAGGGCGGGACACGUGGUAUCCUGUCUGAAUAUGGGGGGACCAUCCUCCAAGGCUAAAUACUCCUGACUGACCGAUAGUGAACCAGUACCGUGAGGGAAAGGCGAAAAGAACCCCGGCGAGGGGAGUGAAAAAGAACCUGAAACCGUGUACGUACAAGCAGUGGGAGCACCUUCGGGUGUGACUGCGUACCUUUUGUAUAAUGGGUCAGCGACUUAUAUUCUGUAGCAAGGUUAACCGUAUAGGGGAGCCGCAGGGAAACCGAGUCUUAACUGGGCGUUAAGUUGCAGGGUAUAGACCCGAAACCCGGUGAUCUAGCCAUGGGCAGGUUGAAGGUUGGGUAACACUAACUGGAGGACCGAACCGACUAAUGUUGAAAAAUUAGCGGAUGACUUGUGGCUGGGGGUGAAAGGCCAAUCAAACCGGGAGAUAGCUGGUUCUCCCCGAAAGCUAUUUAGGUAGCGCCUCGUGAACUCAUCUUCGGGGGUAGAGCACUGUUUCGGCUAGGGGGUCAUCCCGACUUACCAACCCGAUGCAAACUACGAAUACCGAAGAAUGUUAUCACGGGAGACACACGGCGGGUGCUAACGUCCGUCGUGAAGAGGGAAACAACCCAGACCGCCAGCUAAGGUCCCAAAGUCAUGGUUAAGUGGGAAACGAUGUGGGAAGGCACAGACAGCCAGGAUGUUGGCUUAGAAGCAGCCAUCAUUUAAAGAAAGCGUAAUAGCUCACUGGUCGAGUCGGCCUGCGCGGAAGAUGUAACGGGGCUAAACCAUGCACCGAAGCUGCGGCAGCGACACUAUGUGUUGUUGGGUAGGGGAGCGUUCUGUAAGCCUGCGAAGGUGNUGCUGGAGGUAUCAGAAGUGCGAAUGCUGACAUAAGUAACGAUAAAGCGGGUGAAAAGCCCGCUCGCCGGAAGACCAAGGGUUCCUGUCCAACGUUAAUCGGGGCAGGGUGAGUCGACCCCUAAGGCGAGGCCGAAAGGCGUAGUCGAUGGGAAACAGGUUAAUAUUCCUGUACUUGGUGUUACUGCGAAGGGGGGACGGAGAAGGCUAUGUUAGCCGGGCGACGGUUGUCCCGGUUUAAGCAUGUAGGCUGGUUAUCCAGGCAAAUCCGGAUAAUCAAGGCUGAGGUGUGAUGACGAGGCACUACGGUGCUGAAGUAACAAAUGCCCUGCUUCCAGGAAAAGCCUCUAAGCAUCAGGUAACAUCAAAUCGUACCCCAAACCGACACAGGUGGUCAGGUAGAGAAUACCAAGGCGCUUGAGAGAACUCGGGUGAAGGAACUAGGCAAAAUGGUGCCGUAACUUCGGGAGAAGGCACGCUGGUGUGUAGGUGAAGUCCCUGCGGAUGGAGCUGAGACCAGUCGAAGAUACCAGCUGGCUGCAACUGUUUAUUAAAAACACAGCACUGUGCAAACACGAAAGUGGACGUAUACGGUGUGACGCCUGCCCGGUGCCGGAAGGUUAAUUGAUGGGGUUAUCCGUAAGGAGAAGCUCUUGAUCGAAGCCCCGGUAAACGGCGGCCGUAACUAUAACGGUCCUAAGGUAGCGAAAUUCCUUGUCGGGUAAGUUCCGACCUGCACGAAUGGCGUAAUGAUGGCCAGGCUGUCUCCACCCGAGACUCAGUGAAAUUGAACUCGCUGUGAAGAUGCAGUGUACCCGCGGCAAGACGGAAAGACCCCGUGAACCUUUACUAUAGCUUGACACUGAACAUUGAGCCUUGAUGUGUAGGAUAGGUGGGAGGCUUUGAAGCGUGGACGCCAGUCUGCGUGGAGCCAACCUUGAAAUACCACCCUUUAAUGUUUGAUGUUCUAACGUUGGCCCCUUACCGGGGUUGCGGACAGUGUCUGGUGGGUAGUUUGACUGGGGCGGUCUCCUCCCAAAGCGUAACGGAGGAGCACGAAGGUUAGCUAAUCCUGGUCGGACAUCAGGAGGUUAGUGCAAUGGCAUAAGCUAGCUUGACUGCGAGCGUGACGGCGCGAGCAGGUGCGAAAGCAGGUCAUAGUGAUCCGGUGGUUCUGAAUGGAAGGGCCAUCGCUCAACGGAUAAAAGGUACUCCGGGGAUAACAGGCUGAUACCGCCCAAGAGUUCAUAUCGACGGCGGUGUUUGGCACCUCGAUGUCGGCUCAUCACAUCCUGGGGCUGAAGUAGGUCCCAAGGGUAUGGCUGUUCGCCAUUUAAAGUGGUACGCGAGCUGGGUUUAGAACGUCGUGAGACAGUUCGGUCCCUAUCUGCCGUGGGCGCUGGAGAAUUGAGGGGGGCUGCUCCUAGUACGAGAGGACCGGAGUGGACGCAUCACUGGUGUUCGGGUUGUCAUGCCAAUGGCACUGCCCGGUAGCUAAAUGCGGAAGAGAUAAGUGCUGAAAGCAUCUAAGCACGAAACUUGCCCCGAGAUGAGUUCUCCCUGAGACUUUAAGUCUCCUGAAGGAACGUUAAAGACGAUGACGUUGAUAGGCCGGGUGUGUAAGCGCAGCGAUGCGUUGAGCUAACCGGUACUAAUGAACCGUGAGGCUUAACCUU